UGUAGCACUGGAUGGUUCGAUAUAAUUCUGACCUACAAGUUGUUUGGUAGAAUCACACAUACUUUAUGUGACAUCCAAAAUAAGGUAAAUCUCAGUUAUGUCAAUGCAUUGAGCAGAAAAUGGCAGAUUUAUGGAAGUUCUGUAGACAUGGUAGAGAGUAGAUAAUACAAAAGCAACUGUAUGAAUCAUUAUAAAGAAUGGUGCUUAUAUAAAGAGUAGUGGGCUUUGUGCGCCAUGCAUUGGAAACAAAACUUCAACUGCUUCUCUAUGCCUUGUUCUAUGCACUUUUUCAUGAAAAGAAAGACUAUAAGGUCUUAUAAAAAGUAUUCUCACUUUUUUUCCCCCUUCAGAGUACCCCAAAGCAUAUGGUACUAUCAGCCUGAGGUUUCCCCUCUAGCACUUCUGAAUUCCCUGCUGCCUUAGUUAGACCACAUAAACUAAAUAAUGUAAAGAUGGUUUAAUACCUUCUGGGUCCUCUUCCUGACAUUAAUUUUACUACUUAAAAGGCAGUCUUUCAUAAACACAAAGUUAAAAAUGUAAGUAAUACCAUGCACACAUGCAAAUGUUUUCAUGUGGUCUGUGUGUCACCAAGGUCUCUGUUUGCCUGAGAAACCGUCCUUUUGGAAAUCCUGUGUAGCACAGAAGGACUUAAGAAGAGGUACAGGCCUGUGGAGAAUCAUAAAAUAUGGCUGUGUGAUGCUGAUCUCAUUUUGGAGGCUCAAUCCAAUAGACUUCUCAGAGAAGGAUUUUUUUAAAGCCUGAUGCUCUGGCUGGCACAGAGCCCUGAAGCAUCAUUCUGGAUGGCUACUACAAGGAUACCAUACCUCUGUGAGGUUGCACUACGUCUUUGUAGAAUAUCAAACCUACUUCCAAGGCUGGUCUUACAUUCUAACUGGCUUUCAGUGGCCUGAAAUACAGAGAGGUUUGGGAUGAGGAUCCAACCAAAGAGUUGUAAUGCUCUCUUAGUGGAUCAUCUACACCGAGACAAAACCUGUCUGCACAGAGGACAGGGCUCUCAGGG
Molecule: long non-coding RNA, 1021 nt
Organism: Corvus hawaiiensis (hawaiian crow)
Lineage: Eukaryota; Metazoa; Chordata; Aves; Passeriformes; Corvidae
Exons: 3
Source: RefSeq, a predicted model, not a curated record